RNAcentral lists this ribosomal RNA (868 nucleotides) under uncultured archaeon. Its description in RNAcentral is "bacterial SSU rRNA". It matches the Rfam family "Archaeal small subunit ribosomal RNA", at positions 125 to 995 of the family's 1478-position model. The record is from RNAcentral.
GAUAACCUCGGGAAACUGGGUAUAAUACCCGAUAGGUCUCGAUUGCUGGAAUGCAUCGAGAUUUAAAGCUCCGGCGCCUAAGGAUGGGUCUGCGGCCUAUCAGGUAGUAGUGGGUGUAGCGUACCUACUAGCCUACGACGGGUACGGGUUGUGAGAGCAAGAGCCCGGAGAUGGAUUCUGAGACACGAAUCCAGGCCCUACGGGGUGCAGCAGGCGCGAAAACUUUACAAUGCUGGCAACAGCGAUAAGGGAACCUCGAGUGCCAGGUUACAAAUCUGGCUGUCGAGAUGCCUAAAAAGCAUUUCAUAGCAAGGGCCGGGCAAGACCGGUGCCAGCCGCCGCGGUAACACCGGCGGCUCGAGUGGUAACCGUUAUUAUUGGGUCUAAAGGGUCUGUAGCCGGCCGGAUAAGUCUCUUGAGAAAUCUGGCAGCUUAACUGUCAGGCUUUCAGGAGAUACUGUCUGGCUCGAGGCCGGGAGAGGUGAGAGGUACUUCAGGGGUAGGGGUGAAAUCUUGUAAUCCUUGAAGGACCACCAGUGGCGAAGGCGUCUCACCAGAACGGACCUGACGGCAAGGGACGAAAGCUAGGGGCACGAACCGGAUUAGAUACCCGGGUAGUCCUAGCCGUAAACGAUACUCGCUAGGUGUCGGCCACGGUGCGACCGUUGUCGGUGCCGUACGGAAGCCGUGAAGCGAGCCACCUGGGAAGUACGGCCGCAAGGCUGAAACUUAAAGGAAUUGGCGGGGGAGCACCACAACGGGUGGAGCUUGCGGUUUAAUUGGAUUCAACGCCGGAAAUCUUACCGGGACCGACAGCAAUAUGAACGCCACGCUGAAGACUUGCCGGAUUAGCUGAGAGGUGGUGCAU